CCUACGGGAGGCAGCAGUGGGGAAUUUUGGACAAUGGGCGCAAGCCUGAUCCAGCCAUGCCGCGUGCGGGAAGAAGGCCUUCGGGUUGUAAACCGCUUUUGUCAGGGAAGAAAAGGUUCUGGUUAAUACCUGGGACUCAUGACGGUACCUGAAGAAUAAGCACCGGCUAACUACGUGCCAGCAGCCGCGGUAAUACGUAGGGUGCAAGCGUUAAUCGGAAUUACUGGGCGUAAAGCGUGCGCAGGCGGUUAUGCAAGACAGAUGUGAAAUCCCCGGGCUCAACCUGGGAACUGCAUUUGUGACUGCAUAGCUAGAGUACGGUAGAGGGGGAUGGAAUUCCGCGUGUAGCAGUGAAAUGCGUAGAUAUGCGGAGGAACACCGAUGGCGAAGGCAAUCCCCUGGACCUGUACUGACGCUCAUGCACGAAAGCGUGGGGAGCAAACAGGAUUAGAUACCCUGGUAGUCCACGCCCUAAACGAUGUCAACUGGUUGUUGGGAGGGUUUCUUCUCAGUAACGUAGUUAACGCGUGAAGUUGACCGCCUGGGGAGGUACGGCCGCGAGGUAGUAAACGUUAAAGUAAGUAAGUAGUACGCGUGAGAGCGACGACGACGACGACGAGGGAGGAGG
Molecule: ribosomal RNA, 628 nt
Filed under: uncultured bacterium
Lineage: Bacteria
Description: bacterial SSU rRNA
Rfam family: Bacterial small subunit ribosomal RNA (bases 1-542)
Source: RNAcentral